Dermacentor andersoni is the source of this 833-nucleotide long non-coding RNA. RefSeq lists it as uncharacterized. Lineage: Eukaryota; Metazoa; Arthropoda; Arachnida; Ixodida; Ixodidae. The record is from RefSeq and is a predicted model, not a curated record.
ACGCAGCUCAUCGGUAGAUGCACGGGUGCACGGCGUCGCAUUGCGACCUGCGGCAUUUUCUCAUGUUCGCGCAAUCGGUGUGAAACAUGUCGCAUGUGAAAUAUUUGAUAGAAGUGCCGCACGUCCAAGUCAAGCCGCCGUACGGGUGUAUGGCUGUGUGCCCCGUUCUCGGAAGCGUCGACGGGUUUCCGGCAUGCGGAUUUCAGCGUUUGGACUCGACUUUUGGUGAGGAUGUCGAUCGACCUUGGGCCUGGUGACAGCACACCCGACAUGGCCAAAGUGCAGCCUAUCAGUUGAGUGCCCCCGAAUGGACCAUCAACAUCGGAAAAUGAAACAGAGCCAGGGGGAAAAGGUUCCGGUAACACCAUGCAUUCAGUAUGGUGGCCCAGACGUGUAUGCAAGCAACCUCCUUCACGGGACCAAGAACUACUCUGCAGUGUCUCGCAGACUUCCAUGCGAAGUCCUCAACAUUCUCGUCUCAGUGGAAUGGCUGCUCAUCUAUCUGCGUGUCCAUCACGAAGACGGCCAGCUGUAAAGCUCCUGUACCCGUUUAAGAAAGCUUAAUGAUUCUUUUAUUUAAUUUUCAUGGUUGGCCGUAGAAUCUUAACAUUUUUACCUGGCACAACGUGGUGCAAUAACUUUAAAUCAGUGUGAUGUAUUUAAGUGAUGCUCACUCUAAUGCCUAUCUGGUUUUGUUUGUGAGUGUUUAAGAAAUUUGUAUGUCUGAUGAGGUAACAGCAUUUGAAUUUGUCAUCGUGGCUCGUUUCAAUGAGCUGCUAGGAAAUAAGACGCAAAACUUAUCACACGCCAGUUGUAGCAUUUUUGUUUUCAUG